UCUCGGAAGCUAUCCCAAGCCCAGUGG
Molecule: small RNA, 27 nt
Filed under: Bombyx mori (domestic silkworm)
Lineage: Eukaryota; Metazoa; Arthropoda; Insecta; Lepidoptera; Bombycidae
Description: ovarian small RNA-29756
Source: RNAcentral